AUGCAUGUCUAAGUAUAAGCACUUGUACUGUGAAACUGCGAAUGGCUCAUUAAAUCAGUUAUCGUUUAUUUGAUUGUACCAUUACUACUUGGAUAACCGUAGUAAUUCUAGAGCUAAUACAUGCGAAAAGUCCCGACUUUACGGAAGGGAUGUAUUUAUUAGAUUAAAAACCGAUCCGGUUUCGGCCGGCUGUGGGGUGAUUCAUAGUAACUUGUCGAAUCGUAUGGCCUUGCGCUGACGAUGUUUCAUUCAAAUUUCUGCCCUAUCAACUGUCGAUGGUAAGGUAGUGGCUUACCAUGGUUACAACGGGUGACGGAGAAUUAGGGUUCGAUUCCGGAGAGGGAGCCUGAGAAACGGCUACCACAUCCC
Molecule: ribosomal RNA, 369 nt
Filed under: Zoanthidae sp. DC-2019
Lineage: Eukaryota; Metazoa; Cnidaria; Anthozoa; Zoantharia; Zoanthidae
Description: SSU rRNA
Rfam family: Eukaryotic small subunit ribosomal RNA
Source: RNAcentral